GGGUUGUGAGGUUAAGCGACUAAGCGUACACGGUGGAUGCCCUGGCAGUCAGAGGCGAUGAAGGGCGUGCUAAUCUGCGAUAAGCGCCGGUAAGGUGAUAUGAACCGUUAUAACCGGCGAUACCCGAAUGGGGAAACCCAGUGUGAUUCGUCACACUAUCAUUAACUGAAUCCAUAGGUUAAUGAGGCGAACCGGGGGAACUGAAACAUCUAAGUACCCCGAGGAAAAGAAAUCAACCGAGAUUCCCCCAGUAGCGGCGAGCGAACGGGGAGGAGCCCAGAGCCUGAAUCAGCAUGUGUAUUAGUGGAAGCGUCUGGAAAGGCGCGCGAUACAGGGUGACAGCCCCGUACACAAAAGCGCAUGUGCUGUGAGCUCGAUGAGUAGGGCGGGACACGUGGUAUCCUGUCUGAAUAUGGGGGGACCAUCCUCCAAGGCUAAAUACUCCUGACUGACCGAUAGUGAACCAGUACCGUGAGGGAAAGGCGAAAAGAACCCCGGCGAGGGGAGUGAAAAAGAACCUGAAACCGUGUACGUACAAGCAGUGGGAGCCCCACCACCAAAGCAUUCUAUGGUGUUGAAGGCCCUGCAAAGCAGCAUCGCGGUGGCGGAGCGUCGUUUGCGACGCCCAACACACAAAACAAGCGGUGAGUGCUUUGGGGUGGGGUGACUGCGUACCUUUUGUAUAAUGGGUCAGCGACUUAUAUUCUGUAGCAAGGUUAACCGAAUAGGGGAGCCGGAGGGAAACCGAGUCUUAAUUGGGCGUUAAGUUGCAGGGUAUAGACCCGAAACCCGGUGAUCUAGCCAUGGGCAGGUUGAAGGUUGGGUAACACUAACUGGAGGACCGAACCGACUAAUGUUGAAAAAUUAGCGGAUGACCUGUGGCUGGGGGUGAAAGGCCAAUCAAACCGGGAGAUAGCUGGUUCUCCCCGAAAGCUAUUUAGGUAGCGCCUCGUGAAUUCAUCUCCGGGGGUAGAGCACUGUUUCGGCUAGGGGGCCAUCCCGGCUUACCAACCCGAUGCAAACUGCGAAUACCGGAGAAUGUUAUCACGGGAGACACACGGCGGGUGCUAACGUCCGUCGUGAAGAGGGAAACAACCCAGACCGCCAGCUAAGGUCCCAAAGUCAUGGUUAAGUGGGAAACGAUGUGGGAAGGCCCAGACAGCCAGGAUGUUGGCUUAGAAGCAGCCAUCAUUUAAAGAAAGCGUAAUAGCUCACUGGUCGAGUCGGCCUGCGCGGAAGAUGUAACGGGGCUAAACCAUGCACCGAAGCUGCGGCAGCGAACGUAUCACUUAAAGCGAUUCAGCGGGUUACGAUUGACGGAGCGAAGCGACGUCAAAGCGUAUACAAAGUCGAGUCGGUUUAAGGAUACGUUCGUUGGGUAGGGGAGCGUUCUGUAAGCCUGUGAAGGUGUGUCGUGAGGCAUGCUGGAGGUAUCAGAAGUGCGAAUGCUGACAUAAGUAACGAUAAAGCGGGUGAAAAGCCCGCUCGCCGGAAGACCAAGGGUUCCUGUCCAACGUUAAUCGGGGCAGGGUGAGUCGACCCCUAAGGCGAGGCCGAAAGGCGUAGUCGAUGGGAAACGGGUUAAUAUUCCCGUACUUGGUGUUACUGCGAAGGGGGGACGGAGAAGGCUAUGUUGGCCGGGCGACGGUUGUCCCGGUUUAAGCGUGUAGGUGUGUGUUCCAGGUAAAUCCGGUUCACUUUAACACUGAGGCGUGACGACGAGGCACUACGGUGCUGAAGCAACAAAUGCCCUGCUUCCAGGAAAAGCCUCUAAGCAUCAGGUAACACGAAAUCGUACCCCAAACCGACACAGGUGGUCAGGUAGAGAAUACCAAGGCGCUUGAGAGAACUCGGGUGAAGGAACUAGGCAAAAUGGUGCCGUAACUUCGGGAGAAGGCACGCUGACACGUAGGUGAAGUGAUUUACUCAUGGAGCUGAAGUCAGUCGAAGAUACCAGCUGGCUGCAACUGUUUAUUAAAAACACAGCACUGUGCAAACACGAAAGUGGACGUAUACGGUGUGACGCCUGCCCGGUGCCGGAAGGUUAAUUGAUGGGGUCAGCGCAAGCGAAGCUCCUGAUCGAAGCCCCGGUAAACGGCGGCCGUAACUAUAACGGUCCUAAGGUAGCGAAAUUCCUUGUCGGGUAAGUUCCGACCUGCACGAAUGGCGUAAUGAUGGCCAGGCUGUCUCCACCCGAGACUCAGUGAAAUUGAACUCGCUGUGAAGAUGCAGUGUACCCGCGGCAAGACGGAAAGACCCCGUGAACCUUUACUAUAGCUUGACACUGAACAUUGAGCCUUGAUGUGUAGGAUAGGUGGGAGGCUUUGAAGCGUGGACGCCAGUCUGCGUGGAGCCGACCUUGAAAUACCACCCUUUAAUGUUUGAUGUUCUAACGUGGACCCGUAAUCCGGGUUGCGGACAGUGUCUGGUGGGUAGUUUGACUGGGGCGGUCUCCUCCUAAAGAGUAACGGAGGAGCACGAAGGUUGGCUAAUCCUGGUCGGACAUCAGGAGGUUAGUGCAAUGGCAUAAGCCAGCUUGACUGCGAGCGUGACGGCGCGAGCAGGUGCGAAAGCAGGUCAUAGUGAUCCGGUGGUUCUGAAUGGAAGGGCCAUCGCUCAACGGAUAAAAGGUACUCCGGGGAUAACAGGCUGAUACCGCCCAAGAGUUCAUAUCGACGGCGGUGUUUGGCACCUCGAUGUCGGCUCAUCACAUCCUGGGGCUGAAGUAGGUCCCAAGGGUAUGGCUGUUCGCCAUUUAAAGUGGUACGCGAGCUGGGUUUAGAACGUCGUGAGACAGUUCGGUCCCUAUCUGCCGUGGGCGCUGGAGAACUGAGGGGGGCUGCUCCUAGUACGAGAGGACCGGAGUGGACGCAUCACUGGUGUUCGGGUUGUCAUGCCAAUGGCACUGCCCGGUAGCUAAAUGCGGAAGAGAUAAGUGCUGAAAGCAUCUAAGCACGAAACUUGCCCCGAGAUGAGUUCUCCCUGAGACUUAGAGUCUCCUGAAGGAACGUUGAAGACGACGACGUUGAUAGGCCGGGUGUGUAAGCGCAGCGAUGCGUUGAGCUAACCGGUACUAAUGAACCGUGAGGCUUAACCUUACAACGCCGAAG
Molecule: ribosomal RNA, 3110 nt
Filed under: Salmonella enterica subsp. enterica serovar Reading
Lineage: Bacteria; Pseudomonadati; Pseudomonadota; Gammaproteobacteria; Enterobacterales; Enterobacteriaceae
Description: 23S ribosomal RNA
Rfam family: Bacterial large subunit ribosomal RNA
Source: RNAcentral